Molecule: ribosomal RNA, 468 nt
Filed under: uncultured bacterium
Lineage: Bacteria
Description: partial 16S ribosomal RNA
Rfam family: Bacterial small subunit ribosomal RNA
Source: RNAcentral
GACGAACGCUGGCGGCGUGCUUAACACAUGCAAGUCGAACGGAAAGGCCCUGCUUUUGUGGGGUGCUCGAGUGGCGAACGGGUGAGUAACACGUGAGUAACCUGCCCUUGACUUUGGGAUAACUUCAGGAAACUGGGGCUAAUACCGGAUAGGAGCUCCUGCUGCAUGGUGGGGGUUGGAAAGUUUCGGCGGUUGGGGAUGGACUCGCGGCUUAUCAGCUUGUUGGUGGGGUAGUGGCUUACCAAGGCUUUGACGGGUAGCCGGCCUGAGAGGGUGACCGGCCACAUUGGGACUGAGAUACGGCCCAGACUCCUACGGGAGGCAGCAGUGGGGAAGAUUGCACAAUGGGCGGAAGCCUGAUGCAGCAACGCCGCGUGCGGGAUGACGGCCUUCGGGUUGUAAACCGCUUUCGCCUGUGACGAAGCGUGAGUGACGGUAAUGGGUAAAGAAGCACAGGCUAACUACGUG